This 105-nucleotide ribosomal RNA is filed under the name uncultured bacterium. RNAcentral describes it as "partial 16S ribosomal RNA". It matches the Rfam family "Bacterial small subunit ribosomal RNA", at positions 1378 to 1482 of the family's 1533-position model. The record is from RNAcentral.
CCCUUGUACACACCGCCCGUCACACCAUGGGAGUUGGUUGCACCAGAAGUAGUUAGCCUAACCGCAAGGGGGGCGAUUACCACGGUGUGGUCAAUGACUGGGGUG